UUUCCGUAGGUGAACCUGCGGAAGGAUCAUUAGAGAUUGGCCUAACGGCCGUGUCUAUUCCACACACACCGUGAACCGUUUUGGAGCCCUCCAGGGGGUUCCAGACAAAACAUACCAAAAACAAUGUGUAAUGAAUGUAACAUAAUCGUAACAAAACAAAACUUUCAACAACGGAUCUCUUGGCUCUCGCAUCGAUGAAGAACGCAGC
Molecule: unclassified non-coding RNA, 208 nt
Filed under: uncultured fungus
Lineage: Eukaryota; Fungi
Description: sequence contains ITS1, 5.8S rRNA gene
Rfam family: 5.8S ribosomal RNA (bases 160-208)
Source: RNAcentral